This 58-nucleotide small RNA is filed under the name Helianthus annuus (common sunflower). The record is from RNAcentral. Lineage: Eukaryota; Viridiplantae; Streptophyta; Magnoliopsida; Asterales; Asteraceae.
UACUAGUUGAAAGUUGAUGCAACUUCCCUGAUGAGACUAUGCCAAUACAAAACUAGUG